AUUGAACGCUGGCGGCAGGCCUAACACAUGCAAGUCGAGCGGAUGAAGGGAGCUUGCUCCUGGAUUCAGCGGCGGACGGGUGAGUAAUGCCUAGGAAUCUGCCUGGUAGUGGGGGAUAACGUCCGGAAACGGGCGCUAAUACCGCAUACGUCCUGAGGGAGGAAGUGGGAGAUCUUCGGACCUCACGCUAUCAGAUGAGCCUAGGUCGGAUUAGCUAGUUGGUGGGGUAAAGGCCUACCAAGGCGACGAUCCGUAACUGGUCUGAGAGGAUGAUCAGUCACACUGGAACUGAGACACGGUCCAGACUCCUACGGGAGGCAGCAGUGGGGAAUAUUGGACAAUGGGCGAAAGCCUGAUCCAGCCAUGCCGCGUGUGUGAAGAAGGUCUUCGGAUUGUAAAGCACUUUAAGUUGGGAGGAAGGGCAGUAAGUUAAUACCUUGCUGUUUUGACGUUACCAACAGAAUAAGCACCGGCUAACUUCGUG
This 484-nucleotide ribosomal RNA is filed under the name uncultured bacterium. RNAcentral's name for it is "partial 16S ribosomal RNA". It matches the Rfam family "Bacterial small subunit ribosomal RNA", at positions 30 to 507 of the family's 1533-position model. The record is from RNAcentral.